AAUAGCUGCAGUAUUAAAGACUGUACAAAGGUAGCAUAAUAAUUAGUUUUUUAAUUAAAAACUAGAAUGAAAGAUUUAAUGAAAUAUAAACUGUCUCAAAUUUAAUAAAUAAAUUUUUUUUUUAAAUAAAAAAAUUUAAAUUUUAUUUAAAGACGAGAAGACCCUAUAGAAUUUUUAUUAUUUUUAUAUUAUAAAUAUAAAUAUAAUUUUAAUUGGGGAAAUUUUAAAAUUUAAAAAAUUUUUAAUUAAAUAAACAAUUAUGUUUGAAUAAAAAUAUAUUUUUUAAUAAAUAAAUUUAAAUUACCUUAGGGAUAACAGCAUAAUUUUUUUUUGAAGUUCAAAUUUAUAAAAAAGUUUAU
This 359-nucleotide ribosomal RNA is filed under the name Microplitis demolitor. RNAcentral describes it as "partial 16S large subunit ribosomal RNA". The record is from RNAcentral. Lineage: Eukaryota; Metazoa; Arthropoda; Insecta; Hymenoptera; Braconidae.